This 1343-nucleotide ribosomal RNA is filed under the name uncultured bacterium. RNAcentral's name for it is "16S ribosomal RNA". It matches the Rfam family "Bacterial small subunit ribosomal RNA", at positions 28 to 1378 of the family's 1533-position model. The record is from RNAcentral.
GACGAACGCUGGCGGCGUGCUUAACACAUGCAAGUCGAACGGAAAGGCCCUGCUUUUGUGGGGUGCUCGAGUGGCGAACGGGUGAGUAACACGUGAGUAACCUGCCCUUGACUUUGGGAUAACUUCAGGAAACUGGGGCUAAUACCGGAUAGGAGCUCCUGCUGCAUGGUGGGGGUUGGAAAGUUUCGGCGGUUGGGGAUGGACUCGCGGCUUAUCAGCUUGUUGGUGGGGUAGUGGCUUACCAAGGCUUUGACGGGUAGCCGGCCUGAGAGGGUGACCGGCCACAUUGGGACUGAGAUACGGCCCAGACUCCUACGGGAGGCAGCAGUGGGGAAUAUUGCACAAUGGGCGGAAGCCUGAUGCAGCAACGCCGCGUGCGGGAUGACGGCCUUCGGGUUGUAAACCGCUUUCGCCUGUGACGAAGCCUGAGUGACGGUAAUGGGUAAAGAAGCACCGGCUAACUACGUGCCAGCAGCCGCGGUGAUACGUAGGGUGCGAGCGUUGUCCGGAUUUAUUGGGCGUAAAGGGCUCGUAGGUGGUUGAUCGCGUCGGAAGUGUAAUCUUGGGGCUUAACCCUGAGCGUGCUUUCGAUACGGGUUGACUUGAGGAAGGUAGGGGAGAAUGGAAUUCCUGGUGGAGCGGUGGAAUGCGCAGAUAUCAGGAGGAACACCAGUGGCGAAGGCGGUUCUCUGGGCCUUUCCUGACGCUGAGGAGCGAAAGCGUGGGGAGCGAACAGGCUUAGAUACCCUGGUAGUCCACGCUGUAAACGGUGGGUACUAGAUGUGGGGUCCAUUCCACGGGUUCCGUGCCGUAGCUAACGCUUUAAGUACCCCGCCUGGGGAGUACGGCCGCAAGGCUAAAACUCAAAGGAAUUGGCGGGGCCCCGCACAAGCGGCGGAGCAUGCGGAUUAAUUCGAUGCAACGCGUAGAACCUUACCUGGGUUUGACAUGGAUCGGGAGUGCUCAGAGAUGGGUGUGCCUCUUUUGGGGUCGGUUCACAGGUGGUGCAUGGCUGUCGUCAGCUCGUGUCGUGAGAUGUUGGGUUAAGUCCCGCAACGAGCGCAACCCUUGUUCACUGUUGCCAGCACGUUAUGGUGGGGACUCAGUGGAGACCGCCGGGGUCAACUCGGAGGAAGGUGGGGAUGACGUCAAGUCAUCAUGCCCCUUAUGUCCAGGGCUUCACGCAUGCUACAAUGGCUGGUACAGAGAGUGGCGAGCCUGUGAGGGUGAGCGAAUCUCGGAAAGCCGGUCUCAGUUCGGAUUGGGGUCUGCAACUCGACCUCAUGAAGUCGGAGUCGCUAGUAAUCGCAGAUCAGCAACGCUGCGGUGAAUACGUUCCCGGG